Molecule: ribosomal RNA, 360 nt
Filed under: uncultured bacterium
Lineage: Bacteria
Description: bacterial SSU rRNA
Rfam family: Bacterial small subunit ribosomal RNA
Source: RNAcentral
UGAACGAUGAAGGCUUUCGGGUCGUAAAGUUCUUUUCUUAGGGAAGAAAAAUGACGGUACCUAAGGAAUAAGCACCGGCUAACUACGUGCCAGCAGCCGCGGUAAUACGUAGGGUGCAAGCGUUAUCCGGAAUCACUGGGCGUAAAGGGUGCGUAGGCGGCCUUGCNAGUCAGAAGUGAAAGGCUACGGCUCAACCGUAGUAAGCUUUUGAAACUGUAAGGCUAGAGUGAAGGAGAGGAAAGUGGAAUUCCUAGUGUAGAGGUGAAAUUCGUAGAUAUUAGGAGGAACACCAAUGGCGAAGGCGACUUUCUGGACUUUAACUGACGCUGAUGCACGAAAGCGUGGGGAGCAAACAGGAUU